AGAGACUCAUAACAAGAAAACUCUGCAUGUUGGGCACAGACGCGAGUUGUAUCUUCCAUCUGCACUUGUUUGUAGCUGGGGAUGCAGAGCCCUGGGUGCAGAGGGCCAGCCGCACCGCCACGCACCAACUGGUGUCUCCAGGGGGUUGCACCAAUCGAUACUGCCACAAGCUGUGCAUGACAAGCAGCUCUGAGCCACCACCCCAUCAUCGGCAAGAGGAGCACAGUGGGGGCCUGGGUUCCAUCCCAGCAUCCAUCCCAGCACCGUGAAGGAAUGGGAACAGUUACAGCCCUGGGUGAGGCUGCACUGGGCCAUGAGCGUCAGUCCCUUCUGCGUUCCUGUCACAAUCUACCCUCGGCACAGAUGCAGAUGCGUUAGUAAGAAAGGAGCCUACCUGACUCACCGUUCUGGAGGCUGGGAGUCCAAGCAGGAUGGCAAAACUGGGAUCGAACUCGGGACCUUGUGCUUGUGAGGCACGUGGCAGAACCACUGAGCUACAUCCCGGCCCUGGUAAAUACAGCUUUAAAGAAAGUAUAAAAACUACCCAUUCAGGGGCCUUACAAAUGGUGAAUUUUUCUGGGUGAAUUUGGUGCAUGCCCCUAACCUUGGAUACUGGGGAAGCUGAGGCGGGAGGGUCUUAAAUUCAGGGCCAGCCUGGGGAACUAGCAAGAUCACGGAAAGUACUAGGAAACAAAUUUUUAAAAAAGAUGUGGAGAUGAAGAUACAGCUGGCUGGAGCAUCCUGCAGAGGCCCUUGGUUCAGAAGCACUGGAGGAAGAAGAGCCGAAGGCCGUAAUGAAGAGGAGAAUCGGCAUCGAUAGGACACCGGCCCUUUCAGUGGUGAUGCCCGUCAGGGUGGACCCUGGCCGCCUGGCUCCAAGGCCAUCCGAGGUUUCCACUUCCUCCUCCAUGACACCUGGGCUCUCCAGAGCCUCCACGCUGGACCUGGACCACCCCUGGGUGGCUUCACAGCUGGCCGGGCUGGCUCAGGGGAGCAGGUGGCAAGGCCCCUGCCUCUGGGAUCCCAUGCCAGAUGUGGGCCAGAUGGCGGCCAGGCUGUGGACAGGGCCCUCCAUGGAGUGGCCUGCAGCUCUACCAGCCCAUGGGUCCAUCCUCCUUGUACCAGGCAUGUGCAGUGAGGUCCCCACUCUGGCCCAGUCAUGGCAGCCACAGCAGUUUGGGCCGAGAGCCCUGGGGAGGGGAUCCCUGGCUUUGCUGCUGUGGCCCACAUCUCACCUGCAGCUGAUGCCCUCG
Molecule: long non-coding RNA, 1253 nt
Organism: Heterocephalus glaber (naked mole-rat)
Lineage: Eukaryota; Metazoa; Chordata; Mammalia; Rodentia; Bathyergidae
Source: Ensembl